AGGCUCCGGAUGACUUGUGGAUAGGGGUGAAAGGCCAAUCAAACAUCGUGAUAGCUGGUUCUCUCCGAAAUAUAUUGAGGUAUAGCGUCGUGUAGUAGUUAUAAGGGGUAGAGCACUGAAUGGGCUAGGGCAUACACCAAUGUACCAAACCCUAUCAAACUCCGAAUACUUAUAGCGUAACCACGGCAGUCAGGCGGCGAGUGAUAAAAUCCGUCGUCAAGAGGGAAACAACCCGGACUAACAGCUAAGGUCCCCAAAUCUCAUUUAAGUGGAAAACGAUGUGAAGUUACUGAAACAACCAGGAGGUUGGCUUAGAAGCAGCCAUCCUUUAAAGAUAGCGUAAUAGCUCACUGGUCUAGUGAUUUUGCGCGGAAAAUAUAACGGGGCUAAAAUGAGUACCGAAGCUUUAGAUAGUGUCUAUGAUUAUUUAUACCAAGCUUGUCUCUUUGGCAUCUUUAAAUGAGCUUCAUUUUUUCUCCUGCGGCAACCUACACGGUUAGCCUUAGUCGAAAAAAUAUCAGCAACAUUUAAAUCUGCUCAAAACAAGUGAAACGCUUUUUGCGAAAGCAAAAAUGUUUCUUUGAAAGAUACUUCGCUUCUUGCAUUCAAAUUUAAAUGCAACGUCUUGAUCUAAAUUUUAUAAAUUUCAAAAUUUCUUAGAAUUUUAAAAUUUAGCAACAAAAGCAAAAAGACAAGCCCAAGUAAAGUAUAAAUACUCAUAGACACUGUGGUAGGAGAGCGUUCCAAUCAGCGUCGAAGCCGUACCGGUAAGGAGCGGUGGAGCGGUUGGAAGUGAGCAUGCAGGCAUGAGUAGCGAUAAAAUACGUGAGAAUCGUAUUCGCCGUAAACCCAAGGUUUCCUACGCGAUGCUCGUCAUCGUAGGGUUAGUCGGGUCCUAAGCAAAGUCCGAAAGGGGUAUGCGAUGGAAAAUCGGUUAAUAUUCCGAUACCGAUAUCAGUGUGCGACGGAAGGACGCUUAAAGUUAGUGGAGCUAGCGGAUGGAAGUGCUAGUCUAAGGAAGUAGGUUGAGUUAUAGGCAAAUCCGUAACUCUUUAUCCGAGAUCUGAAAGGCUUCUGACGCUCUUCGGAGUAGAUGAAGAAUCCAUGAUACUAUCGAGCCGAGAAAAGUUUCUAAGUUUAGCUGAUAUCGCCCGUACCGUAAACCGACACAGGUGGGUGGGAUGAGUAUUCUAAGGCGCGUGGAAGAACUCUCUUUAAGGAACUCUGCAAAAUAGCACCGUAUCUUCGGUAUAAGGUGUGCCUAGCUUCGUUAAGAAUUUACUUCGUAAGCGAAGAAGGUUACAACAAAGAGUCCCUCCCGACUGUUUACCAUAAACACAGCACUCUGCUAACUCGUAAGAGGAUGUAUAGGGUGUGACGCCUGCCCGGUGCUCGAAGGUUAAUUGAUGAUGUUAGCUUACGCAAAGCAUCUGAUCGAAGCCCGAGUAAACGGCGGCCGUAACUAUAACGGUCCUAAGGUAGCGAAAUUCCUUGUCGGUUAAAUACCGACCUGCAUGAAUGGCGUAACGAGAUGGGAGCUGUCUCAAAGAGGGAUCCAGUGAAAUUGUAGUGGAGGUGAAAAUUCCUCCUACCCGCGGCAAGACGGAAAGACCCCGUGGACCUUUACUAUAGCUUGACACUGCUACUUGGAUAAAGAUGCGCAGGAUAGGUGGGAGGCUUUGAGUCGUAGAUCUCGGUUUACGAUGAGCCAUUGUUGAGAUACCACUCUUCUUUAUUCGGGUAGCUAACUAGCCUAAGUUAUCCUUAGGUAGGACAAUGUCUGGUGGGUAGUUUGACUGGGGCGGUCGCCUCCCAAAAUGUAACGGAGGCUUACAAAGGUUGGCUCAAAGCGGUUGGAAAUCGCUUGCAGAGUAUAAAGGCAAAAGCCAGCUUAACUGCGAGACAUACACGUCGAGCAGAGACGAAAGUCGGUCUUAGUGAUCCGGUGGUUCUGUGUGGAAGGGCCAUCGCUCAAAGGAUAAAAGGUACCCCGGGGAUAACAGGCUGAUCUCCCCCAAGAGCUCACAUCGACGGGGAGGUUUGGCACCUCGAUGUCGGCUCAUCGCAUCCUGGGGCUGGAGCAGGUCCCAAGGGUAUGGCUGUUCGCCAUUUAAAGCGGUACGCGAGCUGGGUUCAGAACGUCGUGAGACAGUUCGGUCCCUAUCUGCCGUGGGCGUAAGAAGAUUGAGGAGAGUUGACCCUAGUACGAGAGGACCGGGUUGAACCGACCACUGGUGUACCGGUUGUUCUGCCAAGAGCACCGCCGGGUAGCUAAGUCGGGAUGCGAUAAGAGCUGAAAGCAUCUAAGCUCGAAGCCGACUCCAAGAUGAAUCUUCUUUUAAGAGCUCUAGUAGACUACUAGUUUGAUAGGCCGGAUGUGUAAUGGAUGAAAGUCCUUUAGCUGACCGGUACUAAUAGCUCGUUUGCUUAUCUUU
RNAcentral lists this ribosomal RNA (2435 nucleotides) under Campylobacter gracilis. RNAcentral's name for it is "bacterial LSU rRNA". It matches the Rfam family "Bacterial large subunit ribosomal RNA", at positions 795 to 2925 of the family's 2925-position model. Lineage: Bacteria; Pseudomonadati; Campylobacterota; Epsilonproteobacteria; Campylobacterales; Campylobacteraceae. The record is from RNAcentral.